Molecule: ribosomal RNA, 425 nt
Filed under: uncultured bacterium
Lineage: Bacteria
Description: bacterial SSU rRNA
Rfam family: Bacterial small subunit ribosomal RNA
Source: RNAcentral
GGGGAAUAUUGCACAAUGGGGGAAACCCUGAUGCAGCCAUGCCGCGUGUGUGAAGAAGGCCUUCGGGUUGUAAAGCACUUUCAGCGAGGAGGAAAGGGGUGAUGCUAAUAUCAUCAUCCUGUGACGUUACUCGCAGAAGAAGCACCGGCUAACUCCGUGCCAGCAGCCGCGGUAAUACGGAGGGUGCAAGCGUUAAUCGGAAUAACUGGGCGUAAAGCGCACGCAGGCGGUUAGAUAAGUCAGAUGUGAAAGCCCCGGGCUCAACCUGGGAACUGCAUUUGAAACUGUCUGACUAGAGUCUUGUAGAGGGGGGUAGAAUUCCAGGUGUAGCGGUGAAAUGCGUAGAGAUCUGGAGGAAUACCGGUGGCGAAGGCGGCCCCCUGGACAGAGACUGACGCUCAGGUGCGAAAGCGUGGGGAGCAAAC